AAAUAGAUACCCUGGUAGUCCACGCCGUAAACGAUGAGUGCUAAGUGUUAGGGGGUUUCCGCCCCUUAGUGCUGCAGCGUAACGCAUUAAGCACUCCGCCUGGGGAGUACGGUCGCAAGACUGAAACUCAAAGGAAUUGACGGGGGCCCGCACAAGCGGUGGAGCAUGUGGUUUAAUUCGAAGCAACGCGAAGAACCUUACCAGGUCUUGACAUCCCGCUGACCGCUAUGGAGACAUAGCUUUCCCUUCGGGGACAGCGGUGACAGGUGGUGCAUGGUUGUCGUCAGCUCGUGUCGUGAGAUGUUGGGUUAAGUCCCGCAACGAGCGCAACCCUUGUCCUUAGUUGCCAUCAUUCAGUUGGGCACUCUAAGGAGACUGCCGUACAAAUACGGAGGAAGGUGGGGAUGACGUCAAAUCAUCAUGCCCCUUAUGACCUGGGCUACACACGUGCUACAAUGGACGGUACAAACGGUUGCGAAGUCGCGAGACGGAGCCAAUCCGAGAAAGCCGUUCUCAGUUCGGAUUGCAGG
RNAcentral lists this ribosomal RNA (530 nucleotides) under uncultured bacterium. RNAcentral's name for it is "bacterial SSU rRNA". It matches the Rfam family "Bacterial small subunit ribosomal RNA", at positions 776 to 1304 of the family's 1533-position model. The record is from RNAcentral.